ACAUGCAUCUGCAGCUGUUAGCAUGCCUGAUGUUGACUGGGGAGGUAUAUGUGCACUCAUGCAGAAGAAGUAGAAGUUUUCACAUCCAAUUUGGCAUUUAGAGAAGCUGAUCCGAAGUCCGGUGUUGGCAGUGUGUGAUCGACAACCCUUGUUUUGCCUCGCUGCGCUCUAUUACCUUGUAGACAUUGUGGAACUUGGACAUGUUCUACUACACCAAAUCAGAACCAGUUGGGACAGUGCGGUUUUCGUAGGGAGCCUUCAGU
Molecule: long non-coding RNA, 263 nt
Filed under: Haliotis rufescens (red abalone)
Lineage: Eukaryota; Metazoa; Mollusca; Gastropoda; Lepetellida; Haliotidae
Description: uncharacterized LOC124121841, transcript variant X3
Source: RNAcentral